Canis lupus familiaris (dog) is the source of this 307-nucleotide long non-coding RNA. RefSeq lists it as uncharacterized. The record is from RefSeq and is a predicted model, not a curated record. The transcript is spliced from 4 exons. Lineage: Eukaryota; Metazoa; Chordata; Mammalia; Carnivora; Canidae.
AGCAGUGUUCUAAGGCAGCAUGGGUAAUUAAAUACACUAGUAUUUCUGUAUAGCAGUGUAUGAAUAUUUACAGAAAAUGGGAUUAAAAAAGACUAAAUGUAGCCUCAUGUCAGGUCUAUAACUUCUGAGCUUUGACCUUGACCAGACCUGAGGGGUGAUCCUGCCCAUGGGAAGACUAUUUGCUCUACUUCAAGAGGCUGAGCUUCAAGAAAGCUUUGCAGCAAACAGAUGGUGAAGAGGAACAUAAGAGAGAGAGAUUCAGCAUGUAUGCAUGCACAUGUGCACACAAGCAACAUAAGGAGGGGCA